CCUACGGGAGGCAGCAGUGAGGAAUAUUGGUCAAUGGACGAGAGUCUGAACCAGCCAAGUAGCGUGAAGGAUGACUGCCCUAUGGGUUGUAAACUUCUUUUAUAUGGGAAUAAAAUGUUCCACGUGUGGGAUUUUGUAUGUACCAUAUGAAUAAGGAUCGGCUAACUCCGUGCCAGCAGCCGCGGUAAUACGGAGGAGCCGAGCGUUAUCCGGAUUUAUUGGGUUUAAAGGGAGCGUAGGUGGAUGGUUAAGUCAGUUGUGAAAGUUUGCGGCUCAACCAUAAAAUUGCAGUUGAAACUGGCAGUCUUGAGUACAGUAGAGGUGGGCGGAAUUCGUGGUGUAGCGGUGAAAUGCUUAGAUAUCACGAAGAACUCCGAUUGCGAAGGCAGUUCACUGGACUGCAACUGACACUGAGGCUCGAAAGUGUGGGUAUCAAACAGGAUUAGAUACCCGGGUAGUC
Molecule: ribosomal RNA, 460 nt
Filed under: uncultured bacterium
Lineage: Bacteria
Description: partial 16S ribosomal RNA
Rfam family: Bacterial small subunit ribosomal RNA
Source: RNAcentral